GAUGAACGCUAGCGACAGGCUUAACACAUGCAAGUCGAGGGGCAGCAUGAGGUAGCAAUACCUUGAUGGCGACCGGCGCACGGGUGAGUAACGCGUAUGCAACCUGCCCGAUACCGGGGUAUAGCCCAUGGAAACGUGGAUUAACACCCCAUAGUACUUUUAUCCUGCAUGGGAUGUGAGUUAAAUGUUCAAGGUAUCGGAUGGGCAUGCGUCCUAUUAGUUAGUUGGCGGGGUAACAGCCCACCAAGACGAUGAUAGGUAGGGGUUCUGAGAGGAAGGUCCCCCACAUUGGGACUGAGACACGGUCCAAACUCCUACGGGAGGCAGCAGUGAGGAAUAUUGGUCAAUGGACGUAAGUCUGAACCAGCCAAGUCGCGUGAGGGAAGACUGCCCUAUGGGUUGUAAACCUCUUUUAUAAGGGAAGAAUAAGUUCUACGUGUAGAAUGAUGCCUGUACCUUAUGAAUAAGCAUCGGCUAACUCCGUGCCAGCAGCCGCGGUAA
RNAcentral lists this ribosomal RNA (501 nucleotides) under uncultured bacterium. RNAcentral's name for it is "partial 16S ribosomal RNA". It matches the Rfam family "Bacterial small subunit ribosomal RNA", at positions 28 to 523 of the family's 1533-position model. The record is from RNAcentral.